RNAcentral lists this ribosomal RNA (950 nucleotides) under uncultured archaeon. RNAcentral describes it as "bacterial SSU rRNA". It matches the Rfam family "Archaeal small subunit ribosomal RNA", at positions 1 to 959 of the family's 1478-position model. The record is from RNAcentral.
UUCCGGUUGAUCCCGCCGGAGGCCACUGCUAUUGGGAUCCGACUAAGCCAUGCGAGUCGAGAGGGUUCGGCCCUCGGCAGACUGCUCAGUAACACGUAGAUAACCUAACCUUAGGUGGAAGAUAACCUCGGGAAACUGAGAAUAAUAUUCCAUAGAUCUAGGAUGCUGGAAUGCAUCUAGAUUGAAAGUUCCGACGCCUAAGGAUGGGUCUGCGGACUAUCAGGUUGUAGUCAGGGUAAAGACCUGACAAGCCUACGACGGAUAUGGGUUGUGAGAGCAAUAGCCCAGAGACGAUAUCUGAGACACGAUAUCGGGCCCUACGGGGCGCAGCAGGCGCGAAAUCUUCACAAUGUGCGAAAGCACGAUGAGGGGAUCCCAAGUGCUGGCACGUAAGUGUCAGCUGUUUCUUAGUCUAAAAAACUGAGAGAGUAAGGGCUGGGUAAGACGGGUGCCAGCCGCCGCGGUAAUACCUGCAGCUCAAGUGGUGGCCGCUAUUAUUGGGCCUAAGACGUCCGUAGCCUGUUUAGUAAAUGCUUGGGUAAAUUGUGUAGCUCAACUAUACGAAUACCGGGUAGACUGCUAAACUUGGGACCGGGAGAGGCUAGAGGUACUCCUGGGGUAGAGGUGAAAUUCUGUAAUCCUAGGGGGACCACCAGUGGCGAAGGCGUCUAGCUAGAACGGGUCUGACGGUGAGGGACGAAGCCCUGGGGCGCAAACCGGAUUAGAUACCCGGGUAGUCCAGGGUGUAAACGCUGCUUGCUUGAUGUUAGUUGGGCUCCGAGCCCAACUAGUGUCGGAGAGAAGUUGUUAAGCAAGCUGCCUGGGAAGUACGGUCGCAAGACUGAAACUUAAAGGAAUUGGCGGGGGAGCACAGCAACGGGUGGAGCGUGCGGUUUAAUUGGAUUCAACGCCGGAAAUCACUAGUGCGGCCGCCUGCAGGUCGACCAUAU